GAUGAACGCUGGCGGCGUGCCUAAUACAUGCAAGUCGAGCGGACGGACGAGAUGCUUGCUUCUCUGAUGUUAGCGGCGGACGGGUGAGUAAAACGUGGAUAACCUACCUAUAAGACUGGGAUAACUUCGGGAAACCGGAGCUAAUACCGGAUAAUAUUUUGAACCGCAUGGUUCGAAAGUGUAAGCCGGUCUUGCUGUCACUUAUAGAUGGAUCCGUGCUGCAUUAGAUGGUUGGUAAGGUAACGGUUUACUAAGGCAACGAUGCAUAGGCGACCUGUGAGGGUGAUCGGCCGCACGGGAACGGAAACGCGCUCCAUACUCCUGCGGUAGGGCGCAGUAGGGAAUCGUCCGCAGUAGUCGAGAGCCUGACAGAACAAGCGGGCGUGAGAGAUGAAGAUGUCCGGUUCGUAAUACUGGGUUAUUAGUGAAAAACAUAUGUGUAAGUGACUGAAGACAUCGUGACGGUACCUAAACAGAAAGCCACGGCUAACUACGUA
This 497-nucleotide ribosomal RNA is filed under the name uncultured bacterium. RNAcentral describes it as "partial 16S ribosomal RNA". It matches the Rfam family "Bacterial small subunit ribosomal RNA", at positions 28 to 507 of the family's 1533-position model. The record is from RNAcentral.